CUCCUCUCCCUCUGCCUUUCCCUGCAGGUGCGGCCGCGCCGUCGAGGCCAGGGGCGCCGCGGGAGCAGCGAGAGCCGCAGGCAGAUUCCUCUGGACAAAUUUCUUCUGCAAGUCCUUUCAAAGGAGAUCUACCAGUGAAAUGUCCACAAUAACAGAUUGAAAAGGAUGAUAAAAUAAAAUGGCAAGGACUGUGUGGAACCAAACAGCAACUACUUGCUGUCUUCUUGUAGAAAACCCUUGCACUGCUCAAGCAUCUCUACGCUAUUGCUCCCUUUUCUUCAUGCCCCCCAAGAGAGCAUGGCACAGCCCCUGUUCUGGGACAGAAGGACGGACAUCUAAGGGACAUGAGCAUUUCUUCUCAGGCAGAGGAGGGAAACCAGAACUCCUGGGUGAGUGCUAAAUAGUGCACGGUCUUGGAGGGUUACCAUGAGCCUUGCAAGGAGAUGGAGUAGAUGCCUAAGGAAAAGCUGAGGAUCUGGAAUUCCAUACAAGCUUAGCCAUGAUCCAUAUGAUGGAGCAAUGUAGCCAAGCUGUGGGCUGACCGAGGUUUGCAUCACUGCCCUGACCCAGAUUGCAUCUGCAGUCAUCUGGAACUGACUACACGCCUGAACUGAUAAAAGAGGCUGUGGAAAUAUGGAUCUCUGGGGCCUUGGCAAGAUGCUUAUGCCAUAUUCACCUGUCCUCUGGAAGACAAAAGAGUGAGGAUCAGCAGUGUCAUUUAUUCUGCAAAAACUGAACAGAUGAGAACUGCUGUGACAGCCAAUAGACAAAAUUAAAAAUUAAGGAAAGGCUGGUAUGGAACAAGAGGAAAAUUAUCCCAGCAUUUUGCAUUUUUUGUAAUCAAAGUCCUGUCUUUGGAGGGUGUUGUCAACUACACACUUGGUGAAGCCUAUAAGGAUUUUCCGUGUGUAAUACCUGCAGGAGUUAGGCCUAGCCUAUCACACUAUUCUAAAAGUGAUGUCCAGUAAGCAAUAGGUGGGCUCUCUUGGGAAAAAUGCAGGAAGAAAACUUGGUGAGAGCUGGAUCCUCUGCAGUGUCACCUCUCAUGAGGGAUUGACAAAAGAAAAAAAAAAAAAGGUGAAUUAAUUCACCAUGGGGAUGGAAGGAUGGAUGCUUCCUGUUUUUUUCAUUGCAAAGUGUAUGAUGGUUUCAUGCCUUUAAUUGACAUCAGUGCAGUGUUGUUCAAUCCAAUGAAAUUUGAAUCCCACAAUGAAUUUCUUUUCCACAAGUAGAUUAUGAACAGAAGGGUUUGAUUUUUAUCAAUUAUGUAUUUUUGAGUGAAAAGCUAUUUUGUGUAUAUGUAUUUAACAGCAGGAAAUAUAGCAAAUGUUUAUUUUUAUUAAACUAAUAAAAAGGAUAAACCUA
Agelaius phoeniceus (red-winged blackbird) is the source of this 1365-nucleotide long non-coding RNA. RefSeq lists it as uncharacterized. Lineage: Eukaryota; Metazoa; Chordata; Aves; Passeriformes; Icteridae. The record is from RefSeq and is a predicted model, not a curated record.